This is a long non-coding RNA of Scatophagus argus, 1411 nucleotides long. RefSeq lists it as uncharacterized. Lineage: Eukaryota; Metazoa; Chordata; Actinopteri; Scatophagidae. The record is from RefSeq and is a predicted model, not a curated record. The transcript has 3 exons.
AACAUCAACGGAACUGUCUUGCAAAUUAUAAUUUAAUUUAUUGAAUAGUUAAAUAAAUAGUAAAUUAAUAGUUAAUAGUUAGAUGGUUAUAACAGACACAGGUAAGUUAAAAGUUAAUGAAAUGUCUCCUGCAAGUCUGAAUUUCACUUACCAGUAAUUCAAUUUAGUACAUGAUUUUAGAUUAUCAUGUCUUUUUAGUUAGGUGUAGGUGGCUGAAUCAGACACAACAGACAGGUAAGUUACUAAUUACUUAUGAACUACUUAAUUAUGAAAAGUCUCCAGUGAAUCUUAGAAAUUUUAGUUGAUGGUUAGGCUUAGAGGUGAAGUAGAAAAUGUAGAAAAUUUUUGAUGAAAGUCUCCCGCAAUUCUUCCAGUUAAUUUAAUAACUGAUUGAUUCUAAUUCAUUUUGUUGUAGUUUCCUGUUUUCUUUUUUGUUUCCACAGAUGUGUAUGCUGACCUGAGAAGUGCAAGACUGGGAUUUCCACGAGGACAGAGAAGAUAUGGACCAGAUGAGAGGGAUUACUGCAGGACCGUAUGGAGUGUGGUGCGCACGUUUCUGUCAGCUGGCUGAGGCAGUUGAGAGUGGACAUCAACCAACCAAUCAUUCCAGGACCACAGCAAACCACUGAAGCUGUCUCAGUACAACACUUGCGUCCCGGCCCCAAGACCCACAACCCCUGACACCAGCCUCUACACCUACACGUCCAGACGAUGAGGGCCGCCCGGGCCUGACCAGCACAGGGGAUGUUGUUGUUUCCAUUCACUUCUUCUGUGCUGGUGGGUUUGGGAUGCUCCUCACAGACCUGCACACCGGAGGUUGCCACCACCUCACAGCAUCUGGACUCAGAAGUCGAGUCAGUUAAGAAAGUGAGUCGGUUCAUUCUAGGACAAAAGAAAAGAAUAAUAAAUAUGGUGCAAACUUUAAUUAACAGUGUGUUUCUGAUUUUAAUUUGACUGAAAUACAUUGCUGUUACAUGUGUAAAUUUGAACUGUGUGACUUAAUAAUCUGGUGGAUUUAUAAUAGGUACACUGGCGUUUUUGGUUCUGGUGUUUUCCAAUGUUGCAUUUUAUUUCCUUGUUACAAAACCGUAAACGGGACAGGCAGUCACGCAGCCCUGUUAAGCCUUAAGAGGAGUGACAAUGCCGCCAUGUUCUGAAGCCCUGACAAUAAUCAUUAAUACAAAUCAGACAGCAGGGAUAGAAGCACAAAUGUUUUAAGAAACUAACCUUAUGUUGUCCUUGAACGAAGCAGAGAACUUCAAAAUGUUCCCGAUGAGCUACACGUUAGCCGACCACUCACAGUGUUGUGAAUGUGUGAAACUGUUUGAAGCAGAGUUUCAGUGAACGUUGUCAAACCCCGUCAGCCAAAGUGACGGAGGGAUUUAUUUAUUUGCUCAUGAAGCAUGGAUUC